ACUGAACGCUGGCGGCAGGCCUAACACAUGCAAGUCGAGCGAGCGGCGGACGGGUGAGUAAUGUAUGGGGAUCUGCCCGAUCGAGGGGGAUAACUAAUGGAAACGGUGGAUAAUACCGCAUACUAUCGGUUGAACACAUAUGGGAUUAGCUAGUAGGUGGGGUAAAGGCUCAACUAGGCUACGAUCUCUAGCUGGUCUGAGAGGAUGAUCAGCCACACUGGGACUGAGACACGGCCCAGACUCCUACGGGCGGCAGCAGUGGGGAAUAUUGCACAAUGGGCGAAAGCCUGAUACAGCCAUGCCGCGUGUAUGAAGAAGGCCUUAGGGUUGUAAAGUACUUUCAGCGGGGAGGCGUUACCCGCAGAAUAAGCACCGGCUAACUCCGUGCCAGCAGCCGCGGUAAGUC
Molecule: ribosomal RNA, 406 nt
Filed under: uncultured bacterium
Lineage: Bacteria
Description: partial 16S ribosomal RNA
Rfam family: Bacterial small subunit ribosomal RNA
Source: RNAcentral